This 227-nucleotide ribosomal RNA is filed under the name Laetiporus sulphureus. Its description in RNAcentral is "partial large subunit ribosomal RNA". It matches the Rfam family "Eukaryotic large subunit ribosomal RNA", at positions 77 to 301 of the family's 3401-position model. The record is from RNAcentral. Lineage: Eukaryota; Fungi; Basidiomycota; Agaricomycetes; Polyporales; Laetiporaceae.
CCCCUAGUAACUGCGAGUGAAGCGGAAAAGCUCAAAUUUAAAUCUGGCGGUCUUUGGCCGUCCGAGUUGUAGUCUGGAGAAGCGUCUUCUACCCGGACCGUGUACAAGUCCCUUGGAACGGGGCGUCAUAGAGGGUGAGAAUCCCGUCCAUGACACGGACCGCCGGCGGUUUGUGAUGCGCUCUCGAAGAGUCGAGUUGUUUGGGAAUGCAGCUCAAACGGGUGGUA